GUGGGUGGAAGCUCAUCAUAGAGGUCACAUGCAGGGUGCUUGUCACUCAACCAAUCACCUUGGGGAAGGUUGAGACAAGAGCCAAUCAUUCCCUAGCAGGGUAUCACCUGACUGGGUGAGUGAGUGCACAGAGAAAUGAGCCAUUGUGAGUUGUCUUUACAGGAGAAACCAGCCAGUGCAGCUCUCCAGCACUACUGGUGGAUGUGACCUCACUGGUUUGAAAACACUCAUGGCUGGCAUAUGAGUGCAAGGUGUGAGUUGGAGUACACCUCCAGAACCCAAUUCAGACUACUCUCUGCCCAC
RNAcentral lists this RNase P RNA (303 nucleotides) under Oncorhynchus tshawytscha (Chinook salmon). Its description in RNAcentral is "Nuclear RNase P". It matches the Rfam family "Nuclear RNase P". Rfam says of the family: Ribonuclease P (RNase P) is a ubiquitous endoribonuclease, found in archaea, bacteria and eukarya as well as chloroplasts and mitochondria. The record is from Rfam by way of RNAcentral. Lineage: Eukaryota; Metazoa; Chordata; Actinopteri; Salmoniformes; Salmonidae.